Molecule: ribosomal RNA, 252 nt
Filed under: uncultured bacterium
Lineage: Bacteria
Description: partial 16S ribosomal RNA
Rfam family: Bacterial small subunit ribosomal RNA
Source: RNAcentral
UACGAAGGGUGCAAGCGUUACUCGGAAUUACUGGGCGUAAAGGGUGCGUAGGUGGUUGUUUAAGUCUGUUGUGAAAGCCCCGGGCUCAACCUGGGAAUGGCAAUGGAUACUGGACAGCUAGAGUGCGGUAGAGGGUAGUGGAAUUCCCGGUGUAGUAGUGAAAUGCGUAGAGAUCGGGAGGAACACCAGUGGCGAAGGCGGCUACCUGGACCAGCACUGACACUGAAGCACGAAAGCGUGGGGAGCAAACAG